CAGAAGAGAAAAGAAACAAUAAAUGCCAUUUUAUUUUACACAGCCAACAUUUUAUUACCUAAUCUGAGACAGACUCUUUUAUUUUAGAACUUGAGUUGAAAUGUACAUGAUACUUUGAAUUUCUGGAGAUUUUGGGCCAUGCUGUUGACAUCACAUGCUAAAUUUAUGUCCCAAUUUGUUUUAAACAGAUUAAUUGCAAUGGAAACUUGGCUUUGAAAAAGAAAAAGGGAGGUGAAAAAAAACUAAGCAUUUCACCACUAAAGCCACUUGAAGUAUUACAUAACACAUAAACGGAGAGUUGGAAGAGGUUGGAAAAGGAAUUCCUAUUUCAUCCCAUUAGCCAUGAACCUUUUUAUUGUUCUUGGAGGAAGUGCGGUCAUGAAAGGGUGACACGUUGCACGGGUGUUGAUUUACAGAGCUCCUGUUACUGAAGGAUUUACUUUUGCAUGGUGGUCACAAUGUCACCACAAAAACCAAAGCUUUGUACACUUCCAACUUGGCUUGCUAUGAACUUUUGAACCAUCUGUUUACUCAAUUGAGGAAUCUAGAAUUAAACCACACAAAUGGCAUGCCAAAUUUUAGAGCCUAAGAUCGACUUUCAAAAAAAUGCAUUAUUGACUUCUAUAGUGUCAUUAUUGGCAUGGCACAUCAGUGCUCCAAAAAUGAUCAUGGAAAAGCAUACAACAGAAUCCUCCCUUGAACCUGUAUACAAAUACUGCUAUAUUCGAACUGAAAUUGUAAUUUAGUAAAACAACAAUGCUAUUCCAAACAGUAAAGAAAGUUCAAUGAAAGUAGCCUUGCUUAAAAAAAAGAACACAAUGUACGAAUUAAAACAAAUAAAAGGGUGCAAUGCAGAUAUCAGGCAGUAAUGUGUUCCAAGGCACAAAUCCAAGUCACAAAUCCCUUCUUUCCAAAUCCACAUUCACUUCAUGAUUACAUAACCAUGAUCUCAAAGGAUCCUGGGAGCACAGACUUGUAAAGGGUUGCAUUUCUUCUUAAAUUCAACUCACUCCAGUGCAGAAUUCUCUGUAGUAUGUGCCAGGCCCUUAUAUCAUGUGGAAAUCUAGACCUUUAUUCUGUUGUACUCCACUGCAGCUGCCUGAGAUUUUCCUUCCAGACCUGCUGACAAGGGGAGGCCUAUUAGCCUUGACUGACCACCAACAGCAAACAAAAGACUUAAGACACACCAAUCACUCAAAGAAACCAUGAUUAAAGAGUUGCACAACAAACAAAAGCCUAAAAAAGUCUGAUUUCUCUGAAACUAAGGUGAAAACAUGAAUCGGAGCAGGCUUUGCUUGUUGCCGUCUAGACGGUUGUCCGUAAUUCUCCAUGUUUUCAAACAUGACUUCAUAGCCACCCCCGGGUUGUGUGCAUGCCAUCUGGAUGAAUGAGAUCCAGGCAACAAUAUUCCAAAGACACGUCACCCCACCAAAACAUUUGCAUCUCUGACAACAAAAGCCCAUUGAGCGACUGUAGCUGUGAGAGAACAGAGAAGGGUUUGAUAAACGAUAAGCUCUCCACUUGAGUCAAAGAACUGGGCGUCCCUGUGGAGGAUUCAGCUCUGCCCGCUGGCAGAUUGACCUCAUUGUUGAAUCACAGCAUAUCGCCCCACUCCAGGGUCCAGAUAGAUAUGUUGUAUCUGUGUUUGUAUGAAUGCACAGUAAUGCAAGACACACUAGUUCCUAUGUAAAGGAUUUUGAUCAUAUAUAAAUUAACACAAAUCAAGAAAGGGCAUUUUUAACAUCAGGACAUAAUGAGCUUGAAUUAAAAAGGUACACUAUGUAACUUUUGGCACUCUAGCUGUUAAUAAAUAAAACUGCAUGCGUCUUGUGGAAGAACACUGUAGAUGGUGUUAAUUAAUUCUGGUUAUAUAUAUGACGAGUCACGCAGGUACUGGGCUACACCUCAGCAGUUGUCGUCCCACUCGGUCUAAAAUAGUCCAUAUAUAUAUAUAUAUAAACACUUGCUAUAAGUGUACCGUAGUGAUUCAGGAUAAAACAAAAACACGGUUUGGAAGAUGGAUUCAUGAUGUACUGCUCAUUACAUAAAUUUUGUAAAUUUUAAGUAAAUUAAUUUUUUUUUUUAAAAAGUAAUGGUAAAGACAAAACUGUAUUGCAUCAAAUGGAUUUAAAUAUAUAUUCAAAUGGUGAAACGAUAUCUAAAAAAAAAAAAAAAAAGGUUAUCGUUUCACCAUUUGAAUAUAUAUUUAAAUCCAUUUGAUGCAAUACAGUUUUGUCUUUACCAUUUUUUUUUUUUUUUUCUUCUUUUUUUUUUUAGAUAUUUUAACAUUAUACAUCUUACAAUGCCUUUUUAAAAUACACUGGCUUAUGUCAUUUAUGUUGUAGAACAAAAUGUGAAAGUAAUAUUAACCUCAGCCCUCAUUCUAAGUAAUUCAAAAAACCGCUAGGGUAUUCCCAUGGGAACCCAUGUCGAAUUAGCCUACAAAUUAAUGUCAUAAAUCAGAACUGAACAGCUCUAUUGCUCCAGUGGUAGGAAAAUCCCUUAUUAAGCAAUGUAUAUAUGGCUCACAGGGCAAGAUUAAUUAUAUUUUUAAAGGCCCACUGAAGUGCCUUGGAACGCGCAGCAUAUAUUGGUGUAAUUUCCACUGAAACAAAGACAGAGCAGGGCAUAUCGAACUGCUCCUCCCCUUUUUAAAAACAGCCAAUAGCUUUUUGUUUAUAUAACAGCUUGGCCAGAGCUGUUGAGCUUGGUAAAGCAGCAGUUUCCUCCUAAUUUUUAACCAUUUCUCCUCCUAAUCUCCAUAUUGCUUUAAAAUAUAGCAUUCCGUGCAGAAUUCAAAUGGGUCCAACACGUUUUCUGGUAUGCGUCGACUCGCGCAUAUGAUCCACUCUGUGCUAUCGUGUCUCUGGACCGGAGCAGACUGUGCACGCUGCGGUGGUUUGACUUGAUUCGCCCCAAUGGAAAGCAUAUUUACACUGUCUGAAUCGCUCCCUAUCCCAUAUACUGUAUAGUGCACUAUGUGCCAUUCACCAUGUAGAAAAUAGUAAAUGUGUGAACAAGUGACUGAUUUAAGCCGCAGCUUCAGCGUCUUUUUAGAUUCUAGAGAGCAUUUGAUUGGACAGAAAAUCUGAUGAGAAGCUGAAGUGCAGAGUGAUGUCAUCUAAAUCUUUGAUUCAUAUUGGCAGAAGUGAGAGACUAAGUUUUGAAUGCUUAUAUCUUCUAAAUUCCCAUUGUUUUGGAGCACACUAACAUUCAUACUAAAAGCCAAAAAACUUCCAUUUUGAUUUCAUGGGGACUUUAACUGGUUUUCUAUAAAUUAAUUCUGUAGAAUUAAUUCAGUUUGUUAUAUUAAGUGUUUUUAAUCCUUAAAUUUGAAAUUUAAAAUUAAAUUAGUAAACAUUUACCAUUCAAAACUGAACUGUCAUUACAAAACUAUUUCACUCAAAUGAGAAUAGAAAAAAAAAUCUGGUUGAUUUUGUUAGAAUAAAAAAAAAAAAAAAAAAAAAAAAAAAAAA
Molecule: long non-coding RNA, 3476 nt
Organism: Ctenopharyngodon idella (grass carp)
Lineage: Eukaryota; Metazoa; Chordata; Actinopteri; Cypriniformes; Xenocyprididae
Exons: 2
Source: RefSeq, a predicted model, not a curated record